Molecule: long non-coding RNA, 2111 nt
Organism: Alligator sinensis (Chinese alligator)
Lineage: Eukaryota; Metazoa; Chordata; Crocodylia; Alligatoridae
Exons: 3
Source: RefSeq, a predicted model, not a curated record
GCCGAGCCCAGAUACCUCCACUCCAGACUCGGGUCGAUCUCAGUCUCCAGGCUUGGCGAGUUUGCGAAGCCAAGCAGUGCCGGAGGCAGACAGUCGCCAGAGGAAGGCGUGCGUGCGGAGACCUGGGACACAGGCAAGCUUUGGAAGCUGCCGGUCGAUUGCCCAGGAUCUGCAGUGGAAGAAACUCGUGGGUGCUACUAAACCUGCCCGGCUUCAUAGUCACUCAACACCUUCUGCUUUAAAAAGUGUGAAGUAUUUGAAUUGAGAACCUCUCUCCCUUCCGAAAGGGAGAUCGUCUCUGCAACACAUCGGGGAUCUUUGUUUUGGCCCAGUCUGCAUCUGGCUUGGAUGCUUGUCUAGGCGGACCUGAGUGACCGCUUGAAAGCUGCGGCCCGGAGACCUCCCUCCCGCGGGGCCGGGCCGCUGUUCUCCCCGCCCAGCAAUCGCACCGGUGGCCCCUGAGCAGGACGCAAGACGGUUCCUUCCCUCCAGCACUUUAAAAGCAGAUAUCUCCUCCUGGCUGAUUUCAGCGCUUCUCAAGUCCUGAAGUUCCUCGAGAUCCACUGAAGGGUGCGGGAUUAGCGCUGGUUAGAUGGACAAACACCUGCACCUGGUCUAGAUGAUGAACCCGGAGAUUUCAAAAGGGAAUUCCCAGUCUGGCCCGUUGUGGGCUUUGGGAGAUCUUUGCAACACAAGAACGGUUCUGGUCUUUUUCCGGAGUCGAGAAAGGAGUGGGAGCUAAGAGGCGGAGUGCUGUGCUCCUCAACCUUUUAAGCCUAUUUGAUGCCCACGUUUCCGAGUUUCUUACUCGCAGUCACAUCGGGCUUUCAUCCCGACAGGCGGCAUGCGCCUCCCCUGUCUGGUGGACUAACAAGCCCAAGUCUUCUUAGUCGCUCUCAAAGGACCUGGCAGCUCUAAGCCACUCUGAGCUUCCCCCCCGCCCCAAAAAGAGAGCUCUAGCCCAAAAAGCUGUGGGGCGAGGCAGGGCAGAGGCAAUGGUGCAGUGAAGGCUCACAGUAUAGGAGCUGCAAUAUUUCUAUGUGCCUCUCCUUGCCAGGUCCCUUGAAUACUUCAGACAAUGAGCAAUUUCUUGCUAUUUCUUUGAGGCAGGACUGUCUGUUGCUUAAAAGCAAAGCAAGCUGACCCCCUCCAAGUGACACGUCAGAAACUAAUGGCAAAUCUUUAUCUCGGGAAUUGUCUACAGGGAAACUUGCAACGGUACAACUCGAACGGGCUUUUAAACAGAUCCAAUUAAAGCGCUGCCCUGGGCUGUGGGACACUUAUUUUAAUGUAAGUGGCUGAUUUGGCAAUAGCACCAGUACUGACAGUCUGAUCCAAAGCUUAAUAGAGUCACAGAACGAUUCCAAUUGAUACUAAUGGGCUCUUGAAUAUGCCCACGGCCAAUAAGAGUGCCUUUGCACUUAAUUAGAUUGUUCUUUCUACAAAACAGUCUCUCUGAUAAUUAGUUUUAGCGGGAUCUCUGAUAUAGAUCCUGAUCCAGCAGAUAGUGCAAGCACCUGCGUAGCCUCUUUAAAGUGGAACUACCCUUUAAAUGCUAAAGUUUUACUAGAUUGGGACCAGACUACAGAGUUUGAAUCUGAUGCCAGCAGAAGCACAGCUCUCUCAGCCAGAUGAGCGUGCUGAUGUCACAACAUACAGCAAGAGCGUCUUUCAUUCAAGCUCCUGUCACAAGUGAUUUGAAGAAACACAGAAGCUAGUACAUUUGCAUAAUUUUGAAUAUUUUGAAGUUAUGCAGGGAAGUUGUAAAGGUUAUUGUCAUGAAAAAAAUCAGAUACUGUAUUGAUGUGCAUCAGAGGAGUUCCUGAGGAAAUGGGAAGUUUUUUCUUCAGAGCAGCGUUUGAAGAGUACAAUAAAGAAUGGGACCAUGCAGUAAAAAAAAUGGAGAAAACAAAAACCUGAAGAAAUGCUUGAGUGAGCAACAUCCACCCUGUGCAUUGAAUGAGACAAGGGUCUUGCUAUAUUCCUCCCCCCACCACACACAAGAGGACAAAUGAUAACCAUCCUCCUACUUUUGUAAUCGCACCCCCUGCCAGUCAGUCCUUCCCACCACACAGCUCUGAUUCCUGAACAGCUUUGCAUGUAACCUGAAU